Molecule: small RNA, 2489 nt
Filed under: Cryptococcus neoformans H99
Lineage: Eukaryota; Fungi; Basidiomycota; Tremellomycetes; Tremellales; Cryptococcaceae
Description: Cryptococcus neoformans var. grubii H99 hypothetical RNA
Source: RNAcentral
UUUUGGCAGCCGAAGCGUUAUAAGUUACCAAUCCUCGAGAAGCAUGAUAGGCGAUUCUGCACGGCUGCUACGAAUGGCCGGGACGCUGUAAAGACUGAUAGGCUGUCCGUCAAGACUAGGAAUAAAGGUUCCGAAAGGCGUUUUGAUGGUGUUAGGUGGGGCCAAAGAGCUGAGGAGGGCUCUUCGUUGUCUUCUUCCAUAGGCUACUCGAAACUUAGCUUUGCUUAUCGAGCCCUAAAGCUUAUUGGGCUCACUUCUGAUGAUUGAUCCUUGUAAAGCUCGAAAAGCUCCCUUUCUACACCACCAUUAGGUUCAAAGUAUCCUAAAAAUCGUUUGUUUAUCUCAGGCGAUUGAACCCAUUUGUAAAAAGCACCCUUUUUCUUGCGCGAGCCUGAAUCCAGUCAGUUACGUGCAGUGGAUCAAUAACAGGCCAAAAAGCUUACCAAAAGGAGCAUCAAUGAAGCCUAUGUCCCGCCAGUCAGUUGACAUUCCGAAAUAUAGUAUCAAGCCCACCUUCUGAGUAAAGCUGCUUGCAAAUAAUAGCCAAGGCAUUUACCGAACAUCCUGGGCAGACAGUUUCAGUACCGCUGUCAUCCGCCCAUCCAAUAGCUCACCAAGAGCAUCCCUCAGUGGCCCGGCCUUGCCGAUACCUCCCUGCUGCCUCACACUCAAAAGAGCACGUCUAUUACUCUCUAUCAGAUACCGACGAGAGAACAAAGAAGGAUAACAGCGUACCUAAAGAGUGCUAGCUUUGACAUCCCCUCACGCGCUCUUUGCAGCUGCAGUUUGGUCCAUUUUUGUCCCUCUAUACGCUCCAUCUUACAAAUAAGGCAGUACCAGUUAUCUACCUGGGCAGCAGCUUUGAGCUCAGAGAAGCUUCAUAUGUUAGUCAGCAAAAUUAUGUACCGCAGAUAAACGAUAAAAGUCAUAACGGGCAUACCCUACACAUGGGCAAUGUACCCAGUUUCGGCAUCCAUCACACUGCAUACUCCCAUCUUGUUCAUCCUCCGCUCCACAGAAGCAAUUAAUUUUGUCCUCAUUAGCCUCCACUAAAUGGGUAUUUGUCCGUGGACCGAUCUUUCUUGACGACUUCUUCUUUAAUGGGGACGUCCUGGCGGCCUCAGCAGUGCGAGCAAGCAUCCUCCUAGCGGGGGGAGUGGCGCGUUUGCGGGGUGUGGAAUCCUUGGGCUUUUGGGGAGUGUUGGUAGGCGUAGCUGAAGACCUGGAUCUAGAAUUUGGUUUGGACGAAGAGGCAGAUUUGAGUGGCUUGUUCGCUUUGACCUUGGGGGCUUUCGAUUUGCUGGGCUUCUUAAGCUUGACGUCGGCGUUUUCCUUGUUAGCCUGGUCAGUCUCUGUCGGGCCAGACUUGUUGUUUGUCCUCUGGGCCUUCCUCGGACGUUCGGAUAACUGGUUAGCAGACUUGGGUCGUAACGCUCCGCACUCCUGUGUCUUGUUGGUGUCGCCCUCGGGAGUCAUAGCAGCUGAGUUAGAACUGGGGCCGUCUUCGGAUGCCGAGCCAUCCUGAUGAGCAAAUAUGGCAGACGCGGAUCCAUUUGAGUGGCGGAGAGCGGUUUGAGCAGGCGCAAGGGGAAUGAUGGCCAUGCUUCCACAAUAAUCAGUUUCCCCAUCAGCUUUACAGCCAAUAUCAUUAGUUACAGUUUUGAGGACAUUCGUAGGGGCGUACCAUCAAAAUCAAAAUCCGUUUUGGAUCUUUCCCUGGCUAUGGACGCACGCGAAGAUGCAUGACGUGUCUGAGAAGCAGACGGUUGAGUGACUUGUGUCUGCGAAAGCUGCAUGAUCUCUUCCUCUAACUGCGUCCAAGUCAACUUCUCAUUAUAGCCAAGCUGGAAUUCGCAUACAGUCUGAUGAGCUCGCUUCUUCCCAGUGACAUUUUCCUCCGCGGAAGGUGGACCCGGCAUAGGGAAAGGCAGGAUAUUACCAUCGGCAAGAAGUGUACCCAAAGGUCGCUUAAGGAUAUCGUAGACGUCAUCAGGUCGUUCGUACGCUUUCCGAUCAUAGACAGGCUAAUACACUACGUCAGUCUUGCCUCCACUUAAAGAGAUGGCGCUCACCAAAUCGGCAUUCUGAUGCGGCAUAAUCAGCCUACAGUCGAUAUUAUACAGUGCGACUCACCCAUGCAACCUUUCUCUUCUCGGCAGCUUUCAACUGCUCAGCCCGCUCUUUUUCAGGGUCGUCUUUCUCUCCCGAAGCCCUCCGUUCAUCCGAGUCUGUACGUGCUGGGAGGAACUGCACAAUAGACUGGGUAGUCACAGAAACACUAAAAAACGACAUCAAACUCGGAUUGUCUUGAGCGUGGAAGAGAAACCUUACCCAUGCGUGCCUGUGGUAGUUUUUCCCAUGACAACAUCCGUAGGCUCCGUGUCUUUGUCGGACGUGCACAUAAACAAUGGGUCUUCUGUACAAUCUCUGAACCCAGGUGCUUCAUAGCUACCAAAAAUAAUUACUUUAAUGGAUGAUCCUCAUUAUUC